Molecule: non-coding RNA, 124 nt
Organism: Hordeum vulgare subsp. vulgare (domesticated barley)
Lineage: Eukaryota; Viridiplantae; Streptophyta; Magnoliopsida; Poales; Poaceae
Source: Rfam
UUUAUACUCCUUCUGUCCGGAAUUACUUGUCAGAGGAAUGGAUGUAUCUAGACGUAUUUUAGUCCUAGAUACAUCCAUUUUUACCCAUUCUGCUACAAGUAAUUCCAGAUGGAGGGAGUACUUG